GAUGAACGCUGGCGGCGUGCCUAAUACAUGCAAGUAGAACGCUGAAGGAAGGAGCUUGCUCUUUCCGGAUGAGUUGCGAACGGGUGAGUAACGCGUAGGUAACCUGCCUGGUAGCGGGGGAUAACUAUUGGAAACGAUAGCUAAUACCGCAUAACAGUAGAUGUUGCAUGAUAUCUACUUAAAAGGUGCAAUUGCACCACUACCAGAUGGACCUGCGUUGUAUUAGCUAGUUGGUGAGGUAACGGCUCACCAAGGCGACGAUACAUAGCCGACCUGAGAGGGUGAUCCGCCACACUGGGACUGAGACACGGCCCAGACUCCUACGGGAGGCAGCAGUAGGGAAUCUUCGGCAAUGGACGGAAGGCUGACCGAGCAACGCCGCGUGAGUGAAGAAGGGUUUCGGAUCGUAAAGCUCUGUUGUAAGAGAAGAACGAGUGUUAGAGGUGAAAGUUCACACUGUGACGGUAUCUUACCAGAAAGGGACGGCUAACUACGUG
Molecule: ribosomal RNA, 497 nt
Filed under: uncultured bacterium
Lineage: Bacteria
Description: partial 16S ribosomal RNA
Rfam family: Bacterial small subunit ribosomal RNA
Source: RNAcentral